This 28-nucleotide non-coding RNA is filed under the name Rattus norvegicus (Norway rat). Lineage: Eukaryota; Metazoa; Chordata; Mammalia; Rodentia; Muridae. The record is from RNAcentral.
UGGAAAUUAUGGGCAGUAAGGAGUUUCA